GGUGGCUCAGUGGUAGAGCGCUUGCCUUACAAGCAUGAGGUCCUGAGUUUGAUUCCUCAGCACCA
RNAcentral lists this transfer RNA (65 nucleotides) under Dipodomys ordii (Ord's kangaroo rat). It matches the Rfam family "tRNA". From Rfam's summary of the family: Transfer RNA (tRNA) molecules are approximately 80 nucleotides in length. Their secondary structure includes four short double-helical elements and three loops (D, anti-codon, and T loops). The record is from Rfam by way of RNAcentral. Lineage: Eukaryota; Metazoa; Chordata; Mammalia; Rodentia; Heteromyidae.